CGUGUAGGCGGGGACAUAAGUCAGAUGUGAAAUACCGAGGCUUAACUUCGGGGCUGCAUCUGAAACUAUGUUUCUUGAGUGUCGGAGAGGAAAGUGGAAUUCCCAGUGUAGCGGUGAAAUGCGUAGAUAUUGGGAGGAACACCAGUGGCGAAGGCGACUUUCUGGACGAUAACUGACGCUGAGGCGCGAAAGCGUGGGGAGCAAACAGGAUUAGAUACCCUGGUAGUCCACGCUGUAAACGAUGGAUACUAGGUGUAGGAGGUAUCGACCCCUUCUGUGCCGGAGUUAACACAAUAAGUAUCCCACCUGGGAGUACGGCCGCAAGGUUGAA
This 331-nucleotide ribosomal RNA is filed under the name uncultured bacterium. Its description in RNAcentral is "bacterial SSU rRNA". It matches the Rfam family "Bacterial small subunit ribosomal RNA", at positions 568 to 898 of the family's 1533-position model. The record is from RNAcentral.